Molecule: long non-coding RNA, 148 nt
Organism: Bufo bufo (common toad)
Lineage: Eukaryota; Metazoa; Chordata; Amphibia; Anura; Bufonidae
Exons: 3
Source: RefSeq, a predicted model, not a curated record
AUUUCUGGUGGUGACAUUUUUGCAUGGAAAACUGUCUCAAUGCGUCUUUCUCUGUGAUCACCACUAAAACUGUACCCUCGUUCAUUUCCGAAUUUUCUGAUGUGUUUUCUGAGAUUGUUAAACAGGAGUUACCCCCCCAUCAGGAGUA